GAACGGAGGAGGCACGUCACUACUUGAUUUCGCCAGGGCUUCCGAGCUUAUGAUUGCGAACUCGACAUUUCAGAAGAGGGAGGAGCAUUUGGUCACCUUCAAGAGUUCGGCGGCGAGGACUCAGAUUGAUUACCUCCUCCUCAGAAGAUUUGGUCACCUUCAAGAGUUCGGCGGCGAGGACUCAGGUUGAUUACCUCCUCCUCAGAAGGAGCUAUAGGGGUAUGUGCAAGGACUGCAAGGUUAUUCUGGGAGAGUCCAUUUCGACUCUUCAUAGGCUCCUAGUGAUGGAUGUCGGUCUCUGGGUGAAGAGGAAAAUGAGGGGUGCUCGGGGACAGCCGCGGAUUAGAUGGGGUGUUUUGACUAAGGAGAAAGCACAGGAACCUCCUCCUCAGAAGGAGCGAUAGGGGUAUGUGCAAGGACUGCAAUGUUAUUCCAGGAGAGUCCCUUUCGACUCUUCAUAGACUCCUAGUGAUGGAUGUCGGUCUCUGGGUGAAGACGAAGAGAAGGGGUGCUCGGGGACAACCGCGGAUUAGAUGGGGUAUUUUGACUAAGGAGAAAACACAGGAGUUGGAGAGGAGGUUAGCUGAGGGCGGAGCUUGGAGAAGUUUUGGGGAAGCGGAUGCUAUGUGGUCGGAGACGGAGAACUUGGUUAGGGAGGUAGCACGGGAUGUGCUCGGGGUAGCCAAGGGCUAUUCAGGCAGACAUCUGGGUGACUAGUGGUGCAACGAUGUAGUCUAAGGAAAAGUGGAGG
This 751-nucleotide long non-coding RNA is filed under the name Nicotiana benthamiana. Its description in RNAcentral is "long non-coding RNA (NBEN_LNC026250)". Lineage: Eukaryota; Viridiplantae; Streptophyta; Magnoliopsida; Solanales; Solanaceae. The record is from RNAcentral.